This is a long non-coding RNA of Thalassophryne amazonica, 261 nucleotides long. RefSeq lists it as uncharacterized. The transcript is spliced from 2 exons. NCBI's taxonomy places the organism in Eukaryota, Metazoa, Chordata, Actinopteri, Batrachoidiformes, Batrachoididae. The record is from RefSeq and is a predicted model, not a curated record.
AAAGUCUUUGUCUGUUCUGAGUGUGGUCGAAGAUUUGGACAAAAGGGCCACCUGAAAACACACAUGAUAAUUCAUACAGGACAAAAAGCAUUUGUCUGUUCUGAGUGUGGUCAAAGGUUUAGACAGAAGAGCCACCUGAAAACACAUAUGAUAAUUCAUACAGGACAAAAACAAUUUGUCUGUUCUGAGUGUGGUCAAAGAUUUGGACAUAAGAUCACCCUGAAAACACACAUGACAAUUCAUACAGGGCAAAAAGCAUUU